This 425-nucleotide ribosomal RNA is filed under the name uncultured archaeon. RNAcentral's name for it is "bacterial SSU rRNA". It matches the Rfam family "Archaeal small subunit ribosomal RNA", at positions 474 to 903 of the family's 1478-position model. The record is from RNAcentral.
UACCAGCACCCCGAGUGGUCGGGACGUUUAUUGGGCCUAAAGCAUCCGUAGCCGGUUCUACAAGUCUUCCGUUAAAUCCACCUGCUUAACAGAUGGGCUGCGGAAGAUACUAUAGAGCUAGGAGGCGGGAGAGGCAAGCGGUACUCGAUGGGUAGGGGUAAAAUCCGUUGAUCCAUUGAAGACCACCAGUGGCGAAGGCGGCUUGCCAGAACGCGCUCGACGGUGAGGGAUGAAAGCUGGGGGAGCAAACCGGAUUAGAUACCCGGGUAGUCCCAGCUGUAAACGAUGCAGACUCGGUGAUGAGUUGGCUUAUUGCUAACUCAGUGCCGCAGGGAAGCCGUUAAGUUUGCCGCCUGGGAGUACGGUCGCAAGACUGAAACUAAAGGAUUGGCGGGGAGCACCACAAGGGGUGAAGCCUGCGGUUC